This 323-nucleotide long non-coding RNA is filed under the name Capra hircus (goat). RNAcentral describes it as "lncRNA (ENSCHIG00010028105.1)". Lineage: Eukaryota; Metazoa; Chordata; Mammalia; Artiodactyla; Bovidae. The record is from RNAcentral.
CGGGGCGCCGCCGAGCGCUGUCUCUGCCCGCCGGAGGAGGGUCUCCGCAGGAACAUCUCCGGUGACUGUGGCACAAGUCUUGGCCAAGUUGUGUCUUGGACGUUGAGGCUCCCGGGAGCCCGGAGCAACUUGGAGGGUCUCCUGGCUCCUUAACCAUAUUCCUACACGUCUCGACUUUUGGGGGUGCUGGGUGCAGCCUCGGGGUGCGUGGAGGGCGGACCGACCGUUCGGGCGAGCAGAGCGGCGGGAAUCUAGGUCCCUCGGCUCGAUUGGCGAACUUACCUGAGACACUGAGACUCAAGAUCGUGCGGAUGUGUGACUAG